Molecule: long non-coding RNA, 212 nt
Filed under: Elaeis guineensis (African oil palm)
Lineage: Eukaryota; Viridiplantae; Streptophyta; Magnoliopsida; Arecales; Arecaceae
Description: long non-coding RNA (EGUI_LNC040553)
Source: RNAcentral
CAGUAUCUCAAAAAUUUGCCUCCGCUAUGCCACCAAUAUGUUCUUUGUCAUCAUUAAACAAGUCUAAUGCAUAGCAAGCCUCUUUAAAUGAAGUAUAUCUAAUACCAUUGAUAGUUUUUAUAUCUUCAAAAUACGUGGCACUUCUUACUAUAUUAAGUAAGAUCCUUUCGUAGUAUAUUUUUUUACUUCCAAAAGGGACAUAAAAUACUUUA